This is a long non-coding RNA of Psammomys obesus (fat sand rat), 265 nucleotides long. RefSeq lists it as uncharacterized. The transcript is spliced from 3 exons. Lineage: Eukaryota; Metazoa; Chordata; Mammalia; Rodentia; Muridae. The record is from RefSeq and is a predicted model, not a curated record.
UGGAACCAGGAUGGACCAGCCCAGGACAGAUAAAAGGAGACACUGGUGCCUUCAAGCUGUCCAUUUCCUCCCUAGGAUGUCGGUUUCGGUGGAGGGAAGGCCGACCUUAGAGGAACACUUGCAAAGGGUAUGGCGGAGCACACCUUUAAUCCCAGCACUUAGGAGGCAGAUGCUGAUGGAUCUCUUUUGAAUUCCAGGCCAGCCCCAGCCAGAUAUAUAUGGGUCUCUCUGUAUAACCAUGGCUGUCCUGCAACUCAAUAAACCA